CUAAGGCCCACUUGGCUUUGCAUUCCAGGAUGUCUGGCUCUAGGGGGAAGAGCAGAGAAGACUGAGCUCUGGGAGUCAAGUGGCAGACAGCUGUGGUUUCGGCUUCCAGCGGUCACACAACUCCAGAGGGACCGGAAGGUCAAGGAAAGCAUGCAGAACCGCAGGCUGUUCACGUGGCUCUGAGGAGGAGAUGACCAACCCCUAAUAAAACACCGUCUGCCGGACGUGCCAUUGGGACUGGCAUGCUAAUUGAAAACAGCAGGCUUGGGGCUGCCUCUCUGACUUUAGCACUCCAGCUAGGAAGAACUUUUCCUUCCACAGAAAAAGCAGUAUUCGCUUCUCCCCGAAUAUUUGAAUGAAGAUAUUGGAUAAACUGCAAAGUCUCUGUGUGCUGAACAUGGGAUCAUCAAACAGUUUUGUCAGCUUGCCAGACAGCCAAAGAGAAGCAAACUGCAAUUGAAGGAGAAAUAUUCUGCUGGCCAAAUGGAAAGAUGAGUACAUUUGGAUUACACAUUCCAGUCCCAAAGACUAAGCCCAGAUAUAUGUAUGUAUGUACCGUCAGAUAUCAUUAAUAAAUUAUUUAUAAAUAUGCUAGAGAAUGUUUUUCUUAACAUUCUUCCUCUGGAAUAGACUAUGUUAACAUACUAGAUAUUCCAUUCUCUUAAAUCUCUUUUUUGUUCUAUCUCUAU
This is a long non-coding RNA of Cervus elaphus (red deer), 689 nucleotides long. RefSeq lists it as uncharacterized. The record is from RefSeq and is a predicted model, not a curated record. Lineage: Eukaryota; Metazoa; Chordata; Mammalia; Artiodactyla; Cervidae. The transcript has 3 exons.